RNAcentral lists this unclassified non-coding RNA (320 nucleotides) under Hevea brasiliensis (rubber tree). The record is from RNAcentral. Lineage: Eukaryota; Viridiplantae; Streptophyta; Magnoliopsida; Malpighiales; Euphorbiaceae.
AAAAAUUGUAAAUUUUUAAUACUACUCCUUUCCACGUCAUUUUAGGCCUCCCUAUUUUUCUCUUCCCACUUUCCAUCACUAAUUUAUCACAUUUUUGUGCUAAAACAUUUGAUUAUUUACGGUGGGCAUGACCAAACCAUCUUAAUUGACACUGUUUCAUUUUAUCCUUGAUGUGUUCUACAUGUACUAUCGGGCAAAUGUGGUUAGUCCUGAUCUUAUCCAUUAUCGUAAUACUAGAUAUCAAUCUUAACAUCCACAUCUACCACGCUCAUCUUAUAGAUAUGUUGUACUUUACAUGCCCAACAUUCACUCCUAUACAA